RNAcentral lists this long non-coding RNA (255 nucleotides) under Lathyrus oleraceus (garden pea). RNAcentral's name for it is "Pisum sativum (pea) long non-coding RNA (PSAT_LNC022557)". Lineage: Eukaryota; Viridiplantae; Streptophyta; Magnoliopsida; Fabales; Fabaceae. The record is from RNAcentral.
UUUUAUUUUAUUAUUUUUGUGUGUGUUAACAUUGGGCUAUUGGGCAUAUACCCCAUUUGGUUUCUGCUAUCAUUAUCAUCCUAUAAUCCACUAUUCACCCCACAUUAAUAUCUAUUUUAAUUUUAUUUUAUUUGUUUAUUUUCUUUUAUUACCUUAAUAAUAAAUAUCAUUUUUAUAAAAUUAAAAUCAACGUUAUUCUCAAAUGGUAUAAACCUUGAUCCAACGUCAAGUGUUCUUUCAAAAUCCAAUUCAACG